CCGCCAGACUCCUACGGGAGGCAGCAGUGGGGAAUAUUGCACAAUGGGGGAAACCCUGAUGCAGCGACGCCGCGUGAGUGAGGAAGUAUUUCGGUAUGUAAAGCUCUAUCAGCAGGGAAGAAAAUGACGGUACCUGACUAAGAAGCCCCGGCUAACUACGUGCCAGCAGCCGCGGUAAUACGUAGGGGGCAAGCGUUAUCCGGAUUUACUGGGUGUAAAGGGAGCGUAGACGGUGAGACAAGUCUGAAGUGAAAGCCCGGGGCUCGACCCCGGGACUGCUUUGGAAACUGCCUGACUGGAGUGCUGGAGAGGCAAGCGGAAUUCCUAGUGUAGCGGUGAAAUGCGUAGAUAUUAGGAGGAACACCAGUGGCGAAGGCGGCUUACUGGACUGUAACUGACGUUGAGGCUCGAAAGCGUGGGGAGCAAACAGGAUUAGAUACCCCCGUA
Molecule: ribosomal RNA, 447 nt
Filed under: uncultured bacterium
Lineage: Bacteria
Description: bacterial SSU rRNA
Rfam family: Bacterial small subunit ribosomal RNA
Source: RNAcentral